GUGCUUGCGUGCUAGUACCCGACCUACGGGAAGUGGUGCUUCGUAUAAUUGUUGCCUCGCGGCGGACGCCCUCUGGGUGUGCCGCUGCGGCCGAAUAGCGCUUGCGGCGUUGCCUCGUGGCGCUGGCACGUAACGUGCCUGCUGCUAUCAAGGCAACCUCGCUCCCGCUGUUGGUCUCGGAUGCUGCUCACGAUAAAGGGUCGUGGCCCUUUCGGUUGCCUCGACCCGACCCAAAGCUCUCCGAACUGAGAACAACCGGAACAGGAGUUGCCUCUACCUCUCCACAGUUACGUGGUAGGAUACGCGACUCUCUGCGCCGAUCCUCAAGGAGGAUGAGCUAUGCCGCUCAACAGCGACAACCGGCCCGGCCGUUGCCUCUGCGUUUCCACGCAAGUGGAAGGGCGGGAUGACGGCCGACGCUGGGCGUCACCAAGGACGUGCU
RNAcentral lists this unclassified non-coding RNA (442 nucleotides) under Elymus repens. RNAcentral describes it as "partial external transcribed spacer". Lineage: Eukaryota; Viridiplantae; Streptophyta; Magnoliopsida; Poales; Poaceae. The record is from RNAcentral.